CCUACGGGGGGCAGCAGUGGGGAAUAUUGGACAAUGGGGGCAACCCUGAUCCAGCCAUGCCGCGUGUGUGAAGAAGGCCCUCGGGUUGUAAAGCACUUUCAGUGAGGAAGAACGCCUGGUGGUUAAUACCCAUCAGGAAAGACAUCACUCACAGAAGAAGCACCGGCUAACUCCGUGCCAGCAGCCGCGGUAAUACGGAGGGUGCGAGCGUUAAUCGGAAUUACUGGGCGUAAAGCGCGCGUAGGUGGCUUGAUAAGCCGGUUGUGAAAGCCCCGGGCUCAACCUGGGAACGGCAUCCGGAACUGUCAAGCUAGAGUGCAGGAGAGGAAGGUAGAAUUCCCGGUGUAGCGGUGAAAUGCGUAGAGAUCGGGAGGAAUACCAGUGGCGAAGGCGGCCUUCUGGACUGACACUGACACUGAGGUGCGAAAGCGUGGGUAGCAAACAGGAUUAGAUACCCCAGUAGUU
This 465-nucleotide ribosomal RNA is filed under the name Vreelandella stevensii. Its description in RNAcentral is "partial 16S ribosomal RNA". It matches the Rfam family "Bacterial small subunit ribosomal RNA", at positions 338 to 795 of the family's 1533-position model. Lineage: Bacteria; Pseudomonadati; Pseudomonadota; Gammaproteobacteria; Oceanospirillales; Halomonadaceae. The record is from RNAcentral.